This 1035-nucleotide long non-coding RNA is filed under the name Anas platyrhynchos platyrhynchos (common mallard). RNAcentral's name for it is "lncRNA (ENSAPLG00000025081.1)". Lineage: Eukaryota; Metazoa; Chordata; Aves; Anseriformes; Anatidae. The record is from RNAcentral.
UUAUAUAUAUUAUAUAUAUAUAAUUGUUAUAUAUAUUUAUUUUUAUAUAUAUAUAUAUUAUAUAAUUGUUAUAUAUAUAUAACAAUUAUAUAUUUAGUCAAGUGCCAUUUCCUGAUAUUGAUUUACUUUUUCUACUUCCUAUAUUCCAAGCAAGAAAAUAGCAUUUUGAUGUACUGGUGAAUAAGACACUGCGUGACAAUUCAAGAGAUCCAGGAGGGAUCUUAUGUAAGCCCAACCACUGCUUAAUUCUGAAUUUCCUUUUUUUUUUUUUCCUGAGAGUACCUGAUCUUAAUCAAGAUUUGAAGAUUGAUUAACAACCUAUGCUAGAAGCUAUGCUGACUUGCAGCAACAGAAUCAAACAUUGAACUUCAUUACAAGGAAGUAGCACUAUCUUUUUGAAGUGUGUGAUUUGGAGAUUCUCCUCAGCUGCUGACUCUGAUCUUCUCCCCAGCUUCUAGUCGUCUGGCAUCAGGGUGUAGAGAGCUACAGGAGUGUAGCUCCACCUAAAGUCCCUUUCCCUUCUUUCCCUUCUUUCCCUUCUUUCCCUUCUUUCCCUCUUUUAUAGGGUACCCCUUUCUGAGUUUAUUUUUCUUACUCUUGAAUAAUUUACUUUCUAACACUUGUCUGUGUACUACUCCUAAACACUUAAAAGUUGCAGCUUUUGCUCCUUAUUGUUCACAUUAAGACAAUUUAAUUAGCUGACCUUUCUACUUUCCUCUAAGAAAACAACAUUAAGUGUUCUAAUUAUUUAGUCACCUUCUUCUGAGCAAGUUGCCAGUAGAAAACUCUCUUCCUGACUUCAAUGAGUGGGGUGUUGAAACCGCACUUUGGGCAGAACUUAGGCUUUAUGAAAUUGGGGGCUUUGUGUUAAGAAUUAUGGGAAUACAAUGCAAACUAUAUUAUUGGACAAACACCUGUGAUGUGAAAGGACAUAAAAUGGGCACAUCUAAUGCUGAUCAUGAUUAAGGUGGGUUGCUGCUCUCUAAGGUACUCAGUUAUUUACAACACUGCUUUGAGCUGUUCACAAUAUCAUUG